GUCUUUGGGAUGAGGCCAGGCAGCAUUUGUUCAAGGGAAGAACGAGGCUCUGUGUGCUGUGUGACUGUAUCAAUAGUCACGGGCAAACAGAUACCCGCAGAAGGGUAGAAUGGGAAGUGGGCGGUGCAGACAAAGCAGCUGUGUGGAAAGGUAUCUCCGUCAAGAAUGGGUUGGUGGCGAGGAACAAAAACUCCCUUAGCCGGAGUAGAAAUGGGAACUGUUGAUGGUGUUGGGGAACUCAGGAAACAUGGAAGGAAGGCAGAAGAGGAGUUAACCUGCAUCAGUGCCAGGAAGUAACAGACCAAAAGUCACUCUGGCUAUUGCUUGGAACAAGUUCUGCGCAACCAGUUACCGUUUCUCAAGUGUUCUGAAAGUGAGCCAAGAGCAGUCUGCAGA
Molecule: long non-coding RNA, 396 nt
Filed under: Mus spicilegus (steppe mouse)
Lineage: Eukaryota; Metazoa; Chordata; Mammalia; Rodentia; Muridae
Description: lncRNA (ENSMSIG00000030284.1)
Source: RNAcentral